AGGAGAGCACGAAGCUUGAAUGCCCUUUUAGGAGCCCUCAGUGCCAAGUCUAGCACCGCACACUACCUAGGGGCCCUUUUUGGGGCGCCGAGCGCUACUUUCCAGAUGCACCACGCAUGCUUGCUCCUUGAGUGUAGUUUAGCGUCAGUUUCAGUAUCACACACCACCUAGGCGCCCUAAGUGGGGCGCUAAGCGCCAGCUAGACGGGCCUG
This 212-nucleotide long non-coding RNA is filed under the name Vigna radiata. Its description in RNAcentral is "long non-coding RNA (VRAD_LNC014352)". Lineage: Eukaryota; Viridiplantae; Streptophyta; Magnoliopsida; Fabales; Fabaceae. The record is from RNAcentral.